RNAcentral lists this long non-coding RNA (271 nucleotides) under Medicago truncatula (barrel medic). RNAcentral describes it as "long non-coding RNA (MTRU_LNC004683)". The record is from RNAcentral. Lineage: Eukaryota; Viridiplantae; Streptophyta; Magnoliopsida; Fabales; Fabaceae.
UAGGUGUAGGAAACAAAAAGAGAACCAAGAAAACCUAACCACACCAAAACGACACAAAAAAUGGCCGUUUCAAGUUUCCACCGCGUUUUCACCUUCGAAUGCCGUUCCGAUCCCGAUUUCACCUCCCUUCCAUCCACCGACAACCACCACCACAACCGCCGUCGUCAUUUCCCAACAACCUCCCUUUCCUCUGCAGCUGCCAUCUCCUCCCCCAUCCUCCGUUUUCCUCCAAAUUUCCAGCGUCAACUCAGCACCAAAGCGCGUCGUAACU